GAUGAACGCUAGCGGCGUGCCUAACACAUGCAAGUCGAACGUGAGAGGGUACUUGUAUCCUUGAAAGUGGCGGACGGGUGAGUAAGACGUAGGUGACCUGCCUUGAAGUGGGGGAUAACCAUUGGAAACGAUGGCUAAUACCGCAUAAGCUGGUGACGAUGGGAAUCGUUAACAGGAAAGCUUUAGUGCUUUGAGAGGGGCCUACGGCCGAUUAGCUAGUUGGUGAGGUAAAGGCUCACCAAGGCGAUGAUCGGUAGCUGGUCUGAGAGGACGAUCAGCCACACGGGAACUGAGACACGGUCCCGACUCCUACGGGGGGCAGCAGUGAGGAAUAUUCGGCAAUGGGGGGCAACCCUGACCGAGCAACGCCGCGUGGAGGAUGACGGUUUUCGGAUUGUAAACUCCUUUUCUCAGGGAAGAGCGAGGACGGUACCUGGGGAAUAAGUCACGGCUAACUACGUG
This 462-nucleotide ribosomal RNA is filed under the name uncultured bacterium. RNAcentral describes it as "bacterial SSU rRNA". It matches the Rfam family "Bacterial small subunit ribosomal RNA", at positions 28 to 507 of the family's 1533-position model. The record is from RNAcentral.